Molecule: ribosomal RNA, 373 nt
Filed under: uncultured bacterium
Lineage: Bacteria
Description: bacterial SSU rRNA
Rfam family: Bacterial small subunit ribosomal RNA
Source: RNAcentral
AUACGGAGGAUCCGAGCGUUAUCCGGAUUUAUUGGGUUUAAAGGGUGCGCAGGCGGGAGAUUAAGUCGGCGGUGAAAUUUUGCAGCUCAACUGUAAAAGUGCCUUCGAAACUGGUUUUCUUGAGUGUAGAUGAAGUAGGCGGAAUUUGUGGUGUAGCGGUGAAAUGCAUAGAUAUCACGAGGAACUCCGAUUGCGCAGGCAGCUUACUAAGCUACAACUGACGCUCAUGCACGAAGGCGUGGGGAUCAAACAGGAUUAGAUACCCUGGUAGUCCACGCAGUAAACGAUGAUUACUCGCUGUUUGCGAUAUACGGCAAGCGGCUUAGCGAAAGCGUUAAGUAAUCCACCUGGGGAGUACGUUCGCAAGAAUGAA